RNA transcript from Zea mays, 3392 nucleotides. It is a transcript of the gene named RNA-binding protein 28, with no coding region annotated. The record is from RefSeq and is a predicted model, not a curated record. The transcript has 20 exons. NCBI's taxonomy places the organism in Eukaryota, Viridiplantae, Streptophyta, Magnoliopsida, Poales, Poaceae.
GCCCAAGCCCACGUGACAACACCCCUCGUAUUCUCAACUAAAACCCUAGCCCCACAGCCCCGACUCCCGACAGUUCCUUCGGUCUCAUCGCAACUGCGAAGCUCCCCCCAGUUCCCACGGUUUCCCCCACGACGCCGGCGAUGGGCAAGCGGAAACAGCGCGGCGGCGGCGACGGAGAACCCGCCGCGGAAGGCGGUGCUGGCGGAGGACACAGCCCCUCCACCGUGUUCGUUUCCAACCUCCCCUACACCUUCAAGUCCUCCGAUCUCGAGGCGGUGUUUAGCGAGGUCGGCCCAGUGCGGCGCUGCUUUAUGGUCGCGGAGAAAGGGUCGGAGAAGAGUCGAGGCUUCGGGUUCGUGCAAUUUGCAACUGUUCAAGAUGCUGAUCGAGCUCUUCAACAAAAGAAUGGAUCUCCUGUUGCUGGUAGGAAAAUCAGAGUUAAGCUAGCAAUGAAUCGUGCUCCACUGAAGGAACGUUUGCAAAAGGGGAAUAUGCAAGUGAAGGACUCUGAUGCAAAAGAUGAAGCAGACGAAAUUUCUCCUGCUGAAAAGCAUAAGGGGAAAUCUCAUAAAACAGAUCCAGAGCAACUGCAUUUGUUGUCAAAUGAUGCUAAGGUAUCAAAGGAAGCUCCCAUUGGCGACUCCGAAAAAGUGAAAAAUUCUGAAAAGCAAAGGGUUGCAAAGACGGUGAUUUUUGGUGGCCUGCAAGACUCCGCCAUGGCAACCGAGGUUUUCCGUCAAGCUCGAGAGAUUGGUUCAGUUGUAUCUGUAAACUAUCCACUUCCCAAAGAGGAAAUGAGAUUCAAUGGACUUGCUCGAGAUGGAUGCACAUCAGAUAUGGCAGCUGUACUCUUUGCAAGUGUCAAAUCAGCUUGGGAUUCUGUUGUCCAACUGCAUAAUAAGGAAGUCAAGGGAGCUACUGUUUGGGCUCGUCAACUUGGCGGAGAGGGCUCAAAGAUCAGAAAAUGGAGAGCGAUUGUCAGGAACCUGCCAUUCAAGAUUACAGAGAAGGAGAUCGUGGAUAUGUUUAGUUCAGCAGGGUUUGUCUGGGAUGUGACAAUUCCACAUAAGUCUGAUGAGGGGAUAUCAAAAGGCUUUGCUUUUGUAUCUUUCACACGGAAGCAAGAUGCAGAAAAUGCUAUAAAAAAUAUUAAUGGAAAAGAUGUUGCAAAGAGACCAGUGGCUGUUGAUUGGGCUGUUCCGAAAAAAGUCUACACUGUUGCUGCAAAAGUUGAUGCUAAGGAUAAUGAGCCUGAGAAUAUACCUGACAAUGUCAGUGAUGAUGACACCUCUGAUGAUAAUCUUGUUGGAGAAGCUAGCUUUGAACUUGAUCAGGAGACUUCUAACCGUCCAUCUGAGGAUGAUUUUGAAACUGAAGCAGAUAUUUCUAAAAAAGUUCUUGAGAAUUUGAUCAAGUCAUCAGAGAAGUCCGAACCAUCUGGCAUUGAAGGUUCGGACAUUGGUACCGACACUGAAACAGAAGAUGAUACAUCAGAAAAGGAGAAAUCUGAUUCACCUGUAGCUGACAAGCUGGUUAAGUCGAAACGUGUAACAGAUGCAGAAAUCAGUAAUCCUGCUUCCAAACCCAAGAAAAAUGAUACUGGCCUGGAUAGGACUAUAUUUAUUAGCAACCUUCCUUUUGAUAUAAGUAAUGAGGAGGUAACAGCGCGCUUCUCAGUCUUUGGGAAGGUUGAAUCUUUCUUCCCGGUUCUUCAUAAACUUACUAAGAGACCUAGAGGUACUGGUUUCAUGAAGUUUUCUACAACAGAGGCAGCUGAUGCAGCAAUUUCUGCUGCCAGUGUUGCUCCUGGCUUAGGAAUUUCUUUAAAGAGCAGGCCACUUAAUGUCAUGAAAGCGAUGGACAAGGAGUCAGCUCACAAAAAGGCACUUGAGAAGGCAAAGACUGAGGUCGAGGAUCGACGGAACCUAUACUUGGCUAAGGAGGGUGAAAUACUUGCUGGAAUACCAGCUGCAGAAGGUGUGUCAGAUGCUGACAUGAAUAAACGUAAUUGGUUAGCUAGAAGGAAAGCGGAGAUGCUUCAGUCUCCAAAAUUUCAUGUGUCGAGAACAAGGCUUAUCAUCUACAAUUUGCCUAAGACUAUGACCAUUAAUGACGUAAAGAAGCUUUGCAGAGAAGCAGUCAUUUCUCGUGCUACAAAACAAAAUCCUGUCAUCCGGAAGGUGAAUAUCCUGAAGAAUGAAAAGAAAGGCAUACAGAAGCAUUCACGCGGUGUAGCCUUUGUUGAUUUUCAAGAACAUGAACACGCUCUUGUUGCUCUAAGGGUUCUAAACAACAAUCCUGUUCCAUCUUCGUCAGAUCCAAUCGUGAAGGCAAACAGUGCCAGCAGCUUCCCGCCGACGGCUCACACCCACACGGGCACAUGAGGUGGCCAGCUCUUCGGCAGCUGCGGCCACUGGCACGUGUGAUGCUUCUGUGGCUUCAAUGGUUUAUUCGCGCAUGCGAGGCUCCAUGAGACAGUGGUGAUGGACUGAUGGUGUCUCGUGAUGCGCUUGGCGAGGCAGCUAUGGCCGGCGGAGCAGAUGGAGGCGGCACAACUAUGUGGGGUUGAGAAACUUUUGGUUCAGAACGUCGCCCAAUUGUAGAGUUUGCGCUUGAGGAUGUUGAAAAGGUGAGGCUUCAGAAGAUUCGAAUGGAACGGCAUCGCAAGUCAGCAGCAGAAACUGCAGAAGUUCAGCAGACCCCUUCAGGGGAUCAACCUGCAAGUGAAGGCCGUAACGCAGAUAACAGCAGGACUUUCAGAAAAGGAAACAAGCGGAAAUCACACAGUUUACCAUCUAAACCCUCCGACUCUGUUGAAGGGCUGGCCAAGGAUCCUCUAGUUCCUGGAGUUCGAAACGCGAAAGCUGCAAAGAGAGCAAGGAAGUCAAAUGUGGGGACCAUUUUGCCGGACCGAGGUCUAACAGCUGCAACCCCAAACACUGCUCAGAAUCAAGUUGCGUCAAGUGAGCUUGAUCAGGCAGCUGCUCCAAAGAAAAGAAAAAACAGAAAAGACGGUCAGGCAGAGCAAAAGAGAGGAAAGGUUACAAAAAGGACAAGGAAAGAACCUUCCGGGGAAGGAGGCGUGGACAAGUCGCUGGUGGAGCAGUACCGUUUCAAGUUCUUGCAACAUGGUGUGAGCAAGACCAAGACCAAGACCAAAGGAUAGUUGACUUGGGAACUGUGGGAAGUGGGAUUGAUGUUGAAGAGCAGCACGGUGUCCCGGACCACCGUAUAACGUUUCGAAGAGCAAGUCUCCACAAACUUUCUGAGGCCAAAAUUUCGAUUGUGAUGCUUAAUAGUUUUGUGUCCAUCUGUACUGAUAUUUAUAACUGAUCUAGUUACAGCCGUAUAAUUAUGAAUCAUCUUAUCAUACACCGUUUAUGGCUUCAUGA